RNAcentral lists this ribosomal RNA (288 nucleotides) under uncultured bacterium. Its description in RNAcentral is "partial 16S ribosomal RNA". It matches the Rfam family "Bacterial small subunit ribosomal RNA", at positions 337 to 640 of the family's 1533-position model. The record is from RNAcentral.
UCCUACGGGAGGCAGCAGUGGGGAAUAUUGCACAAUGGGCGCAAGCCUGAUGCAGCAACGCCGCGUGAGCGAAGAAGGUCUUCGGAUCGUAAAGCUCUGUCCUUGAGGAAGAAGGAAGUGACGGUACUCAAGGAGGAAGCCCCGGCUAACUACGUGCCAGCAGCCGCGGUAAUACGUAGGGGGCAAGCGUUAUCCGGAAUUAUUGGGUUUAAAGGGUGCGCAGGCGGGAGAUCAAGUCAGCGGUAAAAUGUCGGGGCUCAACCCCGGCCGGCCGUUGAAACUGGUUUU